RNAcentral lists this ribosomal RNA (308 nucleotides) under uncultured fungus. RNAcentral describes it as "bacterial SSU rRNA". It matches the Rfam family "Eukaryotic small subunit ribosomal RNA", at positions 1353 to 1680 of the family's 1831-position model. The record is from RNAcentral. Lineage: Eukaryota; Fungi.
AAAUAGGUGUUGAUUCUUUUAGAAUACAAUACACUUCUUAGAGGGACUGUUGACGUUUCCAGUCAACGGAAGUUGGAGGCAAUAACAGGUCUGUGAUGCCCUUUGAUGUUCUGGGCCGCACGCGCGCUACACUGAUAAAGGCAGCGAGUCUCAUUACUGGCCUGUAAAGGUUGGUUAAACUUGCAAACUUUAUCGUGCUGGGGAUCGCCCCUUGCAAUUAUUGGACGUGAACGAGGAAUUCCUAGUAAGCGCAGGUCAUCAGCCUGCGUUGAUUUCGUCCCUGCUCUUUGUACACACCGCCCGUCGCU